GGAAGAUGUCGAGCAGUUCUGAUUACUGUAUUUUUACAUCUAAGUGGAGGGUUUACAUCAGAAGCAUGCUGCUGUAUAUAAAACAAGGGACUCCCUAACCACUGUGACACAUGAGUAUUAAAGCAAAGACUGACAGCCUAAAGACGACGAACCGGUGACACCACGGAGAUAAAGGACAAAGACCCCAGGGCUAAUCUACCCAUUUCAGGAUUCCAAGCUAACAGAAUCUGCCUGCAGCUUCGGGAAGGUAGAGUGCAACAACUGAAACAAUCUCAGUGAUGGUAAAGGAGGAAAGUAGGCGACUUGGAGUCUAGGUCAAGUGUGACUUGGCCAAAUUGCCUUCUCCAGAACUCAUUUUACUUUGCAAAACAACGGAGUUGGGUUGACCGGACACAUCUUACUCCGUGUUAUUGUUCUUUACUACUGUUGGGAAGGGAAUGUUUUUACUUCAUUCUCUUUCCUAGGACCUACAAACUUUUUUUAAUGAAUAAAGAGCACAAAGAAGCAGGAUCUUCACUUCUAUGAAGCAAGGUUAGCGUUAAGAACCUUGGGUUUGGGGGAUGAUUCCUUCUGCCACCCACGGCUUGAAUUUAUUUCUUGUUUCUGUGACCUUGGGCAAGUCCCUUCUCUUCUUUGGGUCUCUUAUCAGUCUGUCAAAAGAAAUUAUACCAGGUAAUCUGAGCGUCUUUCCGUCUUUAAGGAUAAAGCCGAAGACAAUUUGAAGAGCUCAUUUGUCUAGGUGCCCACGCCGGGCACUUCCCCCCAUUCCUCCGGAUUCAGCUUGUCUACUUUUCUGGUUACCAUCAUUCCGAUACGGCUGCAGAAUAGGA
Non-coding RNA from Marmota flaviventris (yellow-bellied marmot), 830 nucleotides. NCBI's taxonomy places the organism in Eukaryota, Metazoa, Chordata, Mammalia, Rodentia, Sciuridae. The record is from RefSeq and is a predicted model, not a curated record.